Molecule: ribosomal RNA, 397 nt
Filed under: uncultured bacterium
Lineage: Bacteria
Description: partial 16S ribosomal RNA
Rfam family: Bacterial small subunit ribosomal RNA
Source: RNAcentral
AUACGUAGGUGACAAGCGUUAUCCGGAUUUACUGGGUGUAAAGGGCGUGUAGGCGGUUUAGCAAGUCAGAAGUGAAAUUCCCGGGCUUAACUUGGGCGCUGCUUCUGAAACUGCUUUACUUGAGUGCUGGAGAGGAUAGUGGAAUUUCUAGUGUAGCGGUAAAAUGCGCAGAUAUUAGGAGGAACACCGGUGGCGAAGGCGGCUAUCUGGACAGUAACUGACGCUGAGGCGCGAAAGCACGGGGAGCAAACAGGAUUAGAUACCCUGGUAGUCCGUGCCGUAAACGAUGAAUACUAGGUGUAGGGGGUAUCGACUCCCUCUGUGCCGCAGUUAACACAUUAAGUAUUCCACCUGGGGAGUACGGCCGCAAGGUUGAAACUCAAAUGAAUUGACGGGG